RNAcentral lists this long non-coding RNA (442 nucleotides) under Dasypus novemcinctus (nine-banded armadillo). Its description in RNAcentral is "lncRNA (ENSDNOG00000050718.1)". The record is from RNAcentral. Lineage: Eukaryota; Metazoa; Chordata; Mammalia; Cingulata; Dasypodidae.
CUGAGGUUUUGGAGGGCGGAGGCCUGUGUGGAUAGGGCUGCGACACCAGUAGCGGCCCCAGCUGCGGCCAGAAGGGAAGUGACAGUGAGUACAGCAGUGAUAGGUUCGCGUUUGUGGAGGUAGAUGGCUUCUUGAGUGUGAUCGAAGGCUUCAAAGAAAUGUCUUGGGGUGUGAUAGAUGACUCGAGGCGUAAGAAGGAUGAGGACACACGUUUCGCUAGUCAUGUUGAGAGUGGCGACAGAUAGGCACGGGCACACCCCGAAUUCUGUAGCCGACCCUACACCUGGGGGAAGAUGCCCACCUUUCACGCAGACCACCUGGUCUGAAGUCUCAGGAUCCUCUGAGUGAUUCCAGUAAGUGGACACAGGCUAGCAGUGCCGGGACUGUGGCCUCUGGGAAAGGCAGGUGGCCUUGUGGCUCCUGGCCCGGAAAGUUGGAGGUC